GGACGCUUCUUGAACGAGAUCUCCAGCCGCCCAUCGAACGGUCAACCUGGCUCACUUCCCCGGAGCCAGGCCGGCAAGACGAUAGGCGCGGAUGGGGAUCUGGCUCAAGAAGCAGCACACC
Molecule: non-coding RNA, 121 nt
Organism: Arthrobacter sp. Soil762
Lineage: Bacteria; Bacillati; Actinomycetota; Actinomycetes; Micrococcales; Micrococcaceae
Source: Rfam